RNAcentral lists this ribosomal RNA (802 nucleotides) under Weissella cibaria. RNAcentral describes it as "bacterial SSU rRNA". It matches the Rfam family "Bacterial small subunit ribosomal RNA", at positions 68 to 822 of the family's 1533-position model. Lineage: Bacteria; Bacillati; Bacillota; Bacilli; Lactobacillales; Lactobacillaceae. The record is from RNAcentral.
GAAGCGCUCGUAACCGCGGAGCAGCACGGCGCGGUGAUACGUUCCCGGGUCUUGUACACACCGCCCGUCACACCAUGAGAGUUUGUAACACCCAAAGCCGGUGGGGUAACCUUCGGGAGCCAGCCGUCUAAGGUGGGACAGAUGAUUAGGGUGAAGUCGUAACAAGGUAUCCGUAGAGGUUCUGCUAUCACUAAGAGAUGGUCCCGCGGUGCAUUAGUUAGUUGGUGAGGUAAUGGCUCACCAAGACGAUGAUGCAUAGCCGAGUUGAGAGACUGAUCGGCCACAAUGGGACUGAGACACGGCCCAUACUCCUACGGGAGGCAGCAGUAGGGAAUCUUCCACAAUGGGCGAAAGCCUGAUGGAGCAACGCCGCGUGUGUGAUGAAGGGUUUCGGCUCGUAAAACACUGUUGUAAGAGAAGAAUGACAUUGAGAGUAACUGUUCAAUGUGUGACGGUAUCUUACCAGAAAGGAACGGCUAAAUACGUGCCAGCAGCCGCGGUAAUACGUAUGUUCCAAGCGUUAUCCGGAUUUAUUGGGCGUAAAGCGAGCGCAGACGGUUAUUUAAGUCUGAAGUGAAAGCCCUCAGCUCAACUGAGGAAUUGCUUUGGAAACUGGAUGACUUGAGUGCAGUAGAGGAAAGUGGAACUCCAUGUGUAGCGGUGAAAUGCGUAGAUAUAUGGAAGAACACCAGUGGCGAAGGCGGCUUUCUGGACUGUAACUGACGUUGAGGCUCGAAAGUGUGGGUAGCAAACAGGAUUAGAUACCCUGGUAGUCCACACCGUAAACGAUGAGUGCUAGGUG